CCUACGGGUGGCAGCAGUGGGGAAUAUUGGACAAUGGGCGAAAGCCUGAUCCAGCCAUGCCGCGUGUGUGAAGAAGGCCUUCGGGUUGUAAAGCACUUUCAGUGGGGAAGAAAGCCUUGGGGCUAAUACCCUCGAGGAAGGACAUCACCCACAGAAGAAGCACCGGCUAACUCCGUGCCAGCAGCCGCGGUAAUACGGAGGGUGCGAGCGUUAAUCGGAAUUACUGGGCGUAAAGCGCGCGUAGGCGGUCUGAUAAGCCGGUUGUGAAAGCCCCGGGCUCAACCUGGGAACGGCAUCCGGAACUGUCAGGCUAGAGUGCAGGAGAGGAAGGUAGAAUUCCCGGUGUAGCGGUGAAAUGCGUAGAGAUCGGGAGGAAUACCAGUGGCGAAGGCGGCCUUCUGGACUGACACUGACGCUGAGGUGCGAAAGCGUGGGUAGCAAACAGGAUUAAUACCCUGGUAGUC
Molecule: ribosomal RNA, 464 nt
Filed under: Vreelandella stevensii
Lineage: Bacteria; Pseudomonadati; Pseudomonadota; Gammaproteobacteria; Oceanospirillales; Halomonadaceae
Description: partial 16S ribosomal RNA
Rfam family: Bacterial small subunit ribosomal RNA
Source: RNAcentral